This 267-nucleotide unclassified non-coding RNA is filed under the name Hevea brasiliensis (rubber tree). Lineage: Eukaryota; Viridiplantae; Streptophyta; Magnoliopsida; Malpighiales; Euphorbiaceae. The record is from RNAcentral.
UUCACAUUCCCAAAACCCUUAAGUAACGUAGUGUAGGUGACAACAUCUGGAUAAAGAUUGCCAUUGUUUGAUUUUUGUGCUUUGUCCUUCAUUUCCUGAAAGAAAUGCAUUGCAGCAUCCACAUUUUCAUUCUUGGCACAUGCUAAAAUUAGAGUAUUAUAGGUGAGCCUAUCAGGGGUUAACCCAAUACGUAAUAUCUCAUCUUGCACAGUCAAGGCAGCUUGAGGACACCCAGCAUUUAUAUAUCCCUUCAUUAGUAAGUUGUAU